UAAAAAGAGAAUAUGAUGUUAGUUCAGAUUAAAUACUAUAUAGAGACAUUACACAUGCAAAUCAAACGAUGAAAUAUAUAUAUAUAAAAUAUAAUAAUAUUAAUUAAGUGAUGUAUUCGUGAGUAAAAAAUAGAAUAAGAAUUAAUAAUUUAAUGAAAUAUUAAAUAAUCAAUAAAGAUAAUAAAUUUAUAUGAAUAAUAUAAAUAAAUUAUUGUUAUUAAUCAAGCUAUAAAUAGUAUAGGUAAUAUGUAGGAUAAUAGCCAUACAUAGCCAACAAUCUAUAACAAUUAAUAAGCGUUAUAAUUGUCACGUCGAAAAUGAAAGAUAAUCGAUAUCUAUAAGAUACAGCAGUGAGGAAUAUUGGGCAAUGAUUUAACGAUUGACCCAGUUAUCUAUAAUAAUGAAAUAAUAAUAAUAAAAAUUAAUUUAAUUAAUAAAGAAAAAAAAAUUAAUUGGUAAAAAAUAAAGUUAUAGGAAAGUGAAAAUAAUGAUAGUAACUUAAAAUAAUAUUUUAUAAUAAUAUUAUUAUUUAUAAUAAUAUUAUUAUUCUGAGAGUUCCAACUAAAAUAUGUGCCAGCAGUUGCGGUUAGACAUAGGGAGCAAGUAUUAAUCAUAUUGGUUUAAAGGAUCCGUAGAAUUUAUAUAUAAAAAUAUAUAUAGAGUUAAUAAAAGUAAUAAAUGAAUUAUAAAAGUAAUGAUGAAAUAUUAUAAUAUUUAUAGGACAGACAAGUUCGAAAGUUUUUAUUAUAUAUUAACUGACAUUGAGGGAUGAAGGCUAUAAUAAUGACAUGGAUUCGAUACCCAAUUAAUUAUAGCAGUAAACUAUGAAUACUUAUCAAAUAAUAAUAAAAUGAUAAAGAGAAAUCAAUAGUAUUCCACCAGGAGAGUAUAAUUACUAAAUUAAAACCCAAUACAAUAGACGGUUAUAAUCAAUAGCAGUGGAGUAUGUUAUUUAAUUCGAUAAUCCGCGAAAAACUUACCACAUUUUGAAUAAUUUAAUUUUUAUAUUAAAUUACAGGCGUUACAUAGUUGUCUUCAGUUCGUGCUGUGAAGUUUAAGGUUAGUUCCAUUAACGAACGAAUCCCUAUACAAAUAAAAAAUAUAUAUAUAUAAAUAUUUGUAAUUUAUUAUUUAGAUGCAUAGUAAAAAUAGGAUUAAGACAAAUCAUUAUGACCCUAAUAAUGUGGGCUAUAGACGUACUAUAAAAAAAGGAAAAAAAUUUUAGGAGAUGUAUAAAUAAAUAUCAAAUAAUUAAUAAAAAAACUUUUAUAAUGUUAUAUAUUAAUAUAUAAUAUUAAUAUGGAUUAUUUCCUGUAAUUCGGAAAUAUGAAAAAAGAAUUGCUAGUAAUCAGUUAUUAAUCAAAUAACGGUGAAUAUUAUUAAUUGUUUCGCACUAAUUACUCGUCACGCGAUAAGUUUAAAAUAAUUCCAAAAAUAAAUAUAUAUUUUUAAUUUAAUUAAUAUUAAUUAAUAAUAAUUAUUUAUAUAUAUUAUUUAAUAAUAAUUUUAAUAUUAUUGCGAAGUCGAAAUACAGUUACUGUAGGGGAACCUGCAGUGGGCUAUAUUAUAUC
Molecule: ribosomal RNA, 1571 nt
Filed under: Komagataea norvegica
Lineage: Eukaryota; Fungi; Ascomycota; Saccharomycetes; Phaffomycetales; Wickerhamomycetaceae
Description: [Candida] norvegica small subunit ribosomal RNA
Rfam family: Bacterial small subunit ribosomal RNA
Source: RNAcentral